ACUUCAGAAAGUUUCCUUUUAUAAAGUCUCUGAUGGCAGGGAAGAUGUUUAACAGAGUUUCUAUUGGCUCCCAGAAGAUAGCAAUGUCAGGAGUCAGGUCUAUAUAAUCCCUUCCUGCUGUCGGAGCCCACUUUAAGGGCCUGGAGGAGACCUUACAUGGUUUUAGGGAGCUGAGGCUGUGAACUGAAGACAAGGGGAUAACAAUUGCCAUGAAUGGACACUGCUUUCUCCAGAGACUUGUCUUUCUCCUCUCCAUUAUCCUGGUGGAUGGUCAAGGGAGCAGACAGCUCCGCCUGGCGGACGGGGGCGGUGGCUGUGCCGGCAGAGU
RNAcentral lists this long non-coding RNA (328 nucleotides) under Dasypus novemcinctus (nine-banded armadillo). RNAcentral's name for it is "lncRNA (ENSDNOG00000052127.1)". The record is from RNAcentral. Lineage: Eukaryota; Metazoa; Chordata; Mammalia; Cingulata; Dasypodidae.